CAGAAGUGCCCACAUCCGGCCAAAUGGGGGCUCACCAGCUGCCCGUGGACGGAGUGGGAGGAGGCCCCCAGUCUCCAGGAGGCUCCAUGCCUCAGGCUCAGACCGGCAGCUCGGGAACCCAGCUAGCAGGAUGAACUCCAGCAGAGGAACUCAGCGCCAUUGCUGCGGCUGUGGGCCAGAAGAGAAAGAGAAAGAGAAAGAGAAUCCGCCUCGGUGUGACAAGCUGUGCCUCAGAACCCGAGCAGCAGGAGAGUGGGCAGCAGGGGGUGUCUGGCAGCAGAGAGGGGCUCAGGCCUGCUGGGUGGAGCGGCGCUGGGGGACACAGGUGGGCCCUGCGGGAGGCAGGAGCUGUCCAGGCAAAGCCGAGGGGAAGGGCCGGUAUGAAGGAGGCGCCCGAUGGGAGGGGCGAGUUCUCCCCCUGCACCAUUCCAGUCCACUCCGGGUUUCCUGUAGAAGGGGGAGCCCCCCAAAGUCCAUCUGUGUUUCCCCACCUCACUCACACACUCAGGGACCCUCGGCUGCUCCCCGGGGCGCUGACUGACAUUUUUGCCGAAUAAAGGGGCCCUGUGGGUUUCCUGUUCCCAUCUCAGCUUCUGCUGAACAGGGUAAACUUCCCUUCCGAAUAAAACCACCAGAAUGCGGUCUGGCCAAUUUCAGUCAUAGACCCACCAGGCCUGUGUCCCUGCGUGAGGGGGUGGGAAAAGCCCAGAGUGCCCCUACCCGUCCCCUGGGAGGGGUGGAAGGGCAGCUCUUGCUCCCCCUGCAGAGACGCUGCGCGGACUGGGAAGGCUGCCAGCCUCGCCCGGUCUCCCUGUGGACCCUGCCCUGACCCCACCCCAGCUUCCUGGCUCCCUGCACCCCACUGGGCUUCCCUGCCCCACAGAGCCUGGUGGUAGGGAGACCUCCGGAUGGAGACAGCCCACAGUCCCGGAGCCCCAAGGCAGGCACCAGUGAGUCCCUCGUGACGGCCUCGCUCCCUGCAUCACAUGGAACCUCGUGACCCACGUGACGACGCCAGUGCCCCCGUGGCCCCUUCCUGCUGCUGGACGUGAUGCAGUCAAUGGAAGCCCAGGUCUGUCACGCACCGCCUGUGCUUGCCCAGAGCAGGUCCCAGUCACCCCCUCUGGCACCGCCUGCUGCACACCAGGAACCCCCACCUCCAGCAAGCCCAUCUGCCAGACGCCUGGCCCAGGACCGCCCCCUGCCCCUCGACUGCCCCCUGCCCCUCCUGGUCCUGACUUCAGCCAGGUGACCCCCUCCAGGGUCCAGCCCUGGCCCCUGGGGGACUCAGUGGCAUCUGGUGGAAAGGACCUUGGGGAUUGCGCCCACCCUCACCUGCAGGAGAGUUGGCAGGGUGGCCAGCCACAGGAAUCUGUGGCAGGAGCCCGGGGACCUGCACCCCAACUAGAAAGUGUGCAGCCCUGCAGGCCGGCCCUGGAGAGGGAGCAGGCAGGGGUGAAGUUAGGCCGGCUGUGGUGUGCGACACCGUCCUGUGGGGCCAAGCGUCCCGAGCUCCAGAGGCAGGUGCACUCCUGGCCAGCAUCCAGGGUGGACGAGCCCAGACCCCAAUACUCUGAGGCAGGGUGGGGGACCAGGUGGCACCCAGUGGAGGAAAAGCCCCCAAGAGACACGCAGGAGCAUGGACUCCCACCCCACAGCUGGAGCCUGGGAGAGGAGCCCCAUCUGCUGUUUCCCUGGUGCACUCACAUCCUGGCCCUCAGCGCCCCCUGCCAGGAAUGUCCCCCACAUGCAGAGCCAUGUGGGUCUUGCAAGGAAGAAGAAGGGGGCCCCUUGCAUCCUCCACUCCCGGGGGCCCCAGGAGGGCAUGGGGGCUCCAGGGUGCAGGGACAGCACGUUCCCUCACCAACUCCCCAAGAACGCCCAACCUCCAAGAGCAGACACAGCGCCUACACCUGCCGGUACGGGGCUCCAACCCCACUCUCUCAGAUACGUCCUCCAGAGUCGUCUCAUCCACCCCACCCUGGGGAGGAGGGAAACUGAGGCAUGGCAAGAGACAAGACUAACACAGCGUGGGCUCUCCCGGCACCAGCACCGCCAGGCCCUGUGCAGGACCCCAGGGUCAUCAGGAAGGAAAUGAGGCAGCCCAAGGAGGCGGGAGACGGGGCCCUACCCAGCACCCAGCCAUCUGCAUUGACACGGCUGCCCGCAGGAUAUCACUGCCCCCAUCCCGGGGCCCACCAUUACCAGCAGGGAGAGGGAGGCAGGUGAGCACCCCGAGCCCCACGCCUCCUGUCGCGGGGACUCCCCAGACCCAAUGCUGUGCCAGUGCAGGCCAGGCAGGGGGCUGAGGCCGAGGCCUGGUCAUUGCCAUCCUGGUCACGAUCUGGUGAAGGAUUUGAGUCCAGAAGCCAAACGUCUACAGUCGUGUGGUGCGGACACUCAGGAUGGACUGCCCAGGCCAUGGGGGGCUCUGAGGGAUGAAGAGGAAACUGCGGGGGCGAGGUGGGCUGCGCGUCUCUGAGAAAGUGUGUGAGUUGAGUGCUGCUGCAGAGGGAAGCUGGGGUCCACCGCUGGUGAGCGGGGAGGGGACGGGACACAGAACCGGCCGUGGCCCACCCCGAGACGGAGGCGCAGACACCAGGCCCGUUCUGUGCUCUGGAGGCUUUGGGCAGCUGUCAGGCUAGUGGACGGUGUGCAGAGCAGAUGGAGGCGUGAGGAGGCGGCUCCGGGGUCACCUAGGUGGGCAGCCCUCACAGGGGAGGCCGAGGGGGAGGGCAGGAGGGCGGAGCAGGCGGCGGUGCAGGAGGCCCGUGGAACUUGGAGGGCUCUGUGUCCAGCUCUCAUGGCCCAGGGCGGGGGCAGCUCCAAGGCCUCGGGCUUGGGGACAGAAGGGAGAGGACUUGGGGGUUGGGGGUGGUCAGAGCAUUGUGGGAGGGAUCUGGGGCAGCUGGGGCUUCCCAGAGGGUGAGGUGUCUGCUGGGAAUUGGGGCAGCCCCAGGCGUCCCCAGGCCUCCAGCCCAGCCCCGGUUCCUCCACGCUGCAGGCCAGGGUAUCAAUUGCCUGCUGGGAAACCUCAGGGUGCCUCUGUCUCAAGUGCCUGCCCCUGACACUCCUGGCCCUGGGCUCCCCCCGCCUCCCCGUCUGUCUGCUUUCCCCACCUCCUCCCCUCCCCUGGCCGUCUUUCUGACUCGGGGAUGGCGUCACCUCUCACCCCAAAUCAGGACCCUGGGCCCCAGCUCUGUUCCCCACCUCACCUUCCUUGUGACCAACUCCUGACCUCCCGUGGGCUUGGGGUGUCUGUGGCCGGAACAUUCCUCAGACCCUCUCCUCCAGCCCCACUCUGUCCCACCACCCAGGCAUCCCCCACCUGGGUUCCAGCCCUCCAAGGGGCCCCACGCUCUGUGUCCAUGAUCAGGACACUCACACGCACCCAGCUCGCGCCCUUCCUUCCAGACAUUCGAGCUCUGGAAGCUCACAGUCACCCUAGCUUAGUGCACAGCCACAGGCCAGGCACCUUCAACAUCCCCACCUUCCAGGUGAGGAAACCGAGGCACCGAGAGCUGGGGGCCAGGCCAGGGGGUCUCCCUGGGGGGAGCAGAGGAGUGUCGGACCUCAGAAGAGGCUCUGGGGGUCUGAGCCGCCACCGGGCGCUGCCUUCCAGGUUCAGCAGGGACAGAGCUCAGGGGGAAGGCACCUCCCGUCCUGGUUCAAUACAUGGACCCCUGACCCUGGGAAAGGGACUGAGCCAGGGGAGGCCUCAGGUCACUGCACCAUGAAGUUGUGGGGAGCUGCGGGGGCCUCUGGGCUCCGAGCUGGGCAGGCACAGCGUGGGGACCACGUGCCGAGGGGAAGAAGCGUGCCAGGGUGGACGUCUCAGUGCACACGCAGGAACAUGCAACGGCUGAGCCAGCCCAGAGAGGCAGCGGAGCGUGUGCGGGGCGGCCGGCGGAGGAGCAGCAGGAUCCCAGGCGGGAGCGCACGGCCUUUUCGGAGGCAGGUUCCAGGACAAUACUAAGCGUUUACAUCAUUGCACUAUUUGAUCCAGGAGGUCCCACUGUGGCGUUUCAUCGAUAAACGCACAUGCGAGGUGGAGGGUGGCUGGUGUGGAAUGUGCCCGGCAGCCUUCAUAGCAAAGGAGAAUUCUAGAACCAACCGAAGUGCCCCUCUGAAGGGAGCUGGUCCCGUCCGUUCCAGCCGCCGUGGAGUAACACAGCCAGCAGUUUCCCUCCUGCCACGAAAGCUCGAGACUGAAACUCAGGAUGAACUGUUUUCAGCCCGGGUCACCCCAGCCCUGGGGUGGAGGCCCAUUGAGGAUGGCCGAGCAGGGGCGGGCAUCCAGGCAGGUCCAGCAGUCCUGGCGGGCUGAGGAGAAGGAGGUCAGUGCUCAGGGAGACAUCCGCAGAGGGACCUGGCAGGCAGAGCUCCAGAAGGGAGGGAACUGCACAGACAGAAAGCUCCAGAAGGCUGCCUGAGGGCCUCUGAGGCCUCCGGAGUCAGGCGCCAUGGAUGUGGAAGGUGGACUCUUCAGCAUGGAUGGGACCCUAGGGGGCUGUGGACCCCCGGCCCCUGGGACUCACAGGUGGGAGACAGGAGUUCCAACCGCCAGGGGGAGAGUCCUGGAGGAUCCUGGGCUGUUGGCAGCCACCCAGCAGGGCCCGUCCUGGGAGUGGGGCUGGACUCUUCCUGCAGGAAAGGCUGGGCUGGACCUGCUCUGAGAGGCUUCAGAACCAGCCACACGAAGACCAAAGUGAAGAGCAAGGAGCUGAACUCCACGCAGAACACAGCGCAGCGUCCUUUAAAGGAAGGCCAAAAACAACCCAACAAAAAUGCCAGGUGAUCAAAGCGGUCACAGCACAAUGUCCACAUCCAACGAGAAAUUGCUACUACGUCCAGACGCAGGGAAAGGUGGCCGUGGGAACGUGAGUCAGCAGCAACAGGCCCAGAAGGGCAGCCACGGUGGACUUGUCAGACGUGGACCCUGAAAUGACAAUCACAGCAUGAUUUCAGGCAGGAGCCUGAAAUGGUACAGCUUUGGACAUCGGUUUGGCAAAUUCUUUUAGAGAGAAACACACACCUUCCCUAGGACCCAGCAACUCCACUCCUAAUAACCAAGUGAAAUGGAAGGAGUUGUCCUCAGCAAAACGUGUGUGCGGAAGUUCACAGUCACUUUCUCGGUGAUAACCAAGAGCUGGAAACCACUGCAACACCCACCAGCAGGUGAACGGAUUAACACACUGGGCUAGGGCCACACAAUGAGAUGCUCCGUGGCAACACAAAAUGAACCGUGGACACACACUGCACGGCGGAUGAAUAUGCAGACAUCAGGCCACGUGAAGGGAGCCAGGCCCCGAGGCGCCACGCUUUGUGAUUCAGGGUGGUCCCUCUGCGCCCAAGACCCGGCUGCCUCCUCCUCUUCCUGGCUGCAGGGAGUGCUUGUGUCUGAAGAACGCCAGGCUGGUGUCCCCAGAGGGCGGCUGGAGGGGCUCAGAAACCAUUUUCACCUUCUGUCUCCUCCAUGUCUGCACUGUUUGGGUUUGUACCCGCCUGUGUCGCUUUUGCACGGGAAGUGAGAUGGAGAGACACGUGAACCACCAUUGCUGGGGUUCCAGCAUGGGGCCCCAGGGGACCCAUGGCUUUCCCAGAAGGAAGCUCUGCCAUUGGACAGCCGGUCUCAGGCUGCUGCACAGGCCCCUCCCCGCCCUCAGCCCUGGCCUGCGGGAAUCAGGAAAGGGUGGGGUCCAGCUGCAUUGCGAAUGGACUAAAGCCACUGAUUUGCACACUUGCCAAUGGCUGAAAUGGUCAAUAAAACGUCAUGUACCUUUUGCCACAGGAAAGAAAGCACGCAGCCAAAGAGCGCAAAGAGGCUCAGAGGAGGCCCGGGUGCCCUGGAGAGACGCUGCGUCCUGACGACACAGCAUCCCUGUCCCGCAGCGGAGAUUUCCCAGAUGAAGGAUUCCCCGGCGGGAGACAGGGCCCUGCACACAGGUCCUCUGCCACGCUGCUCACCAUGCCUGUGUGUUAUCUCCCCAUGAAAAGUCACCUAGGCCGAGCAUGGUGGCUCACGCCUGUAAUCCCAGCACUUUGGGAGGUGGAGGCGUGCGGAUCAUCUGAGAUCAGGAGUUUGAGACCAUCCUGAGUAACAUGGUGAAACCCCGUCUCUAGGAAGAAUACAAAAAUUAACUGG
Molecule: long non-coding RNA, 6145 nt
Filed under: Homo sapiens (human)
Lineage: Eukaryota; Metazoa; Chordata; Mammalia; Primates; Hominidae
Description: long non-coding RNA NONHSAT150995.1
Source: RNAcentral